AGAGUUUGAUCCUGGCUCAGGAUGAACGCUAGCGGCAGGCCUAAUACAUGCAAGUCGAGGGAGAAUUUAGGUGCUUGCACUUAGAGGGAACCGGCGAACGGGUGCGUAACACGUAUGCAACCUACCUAUAACUGGGGGACAGGCCGAAGAAAUUCGGAUUAAUACCCUAUAAUAUUUAGUCAUCGCAUGAUGAUUAUCUUAAAACUCAGGUGGUUAUAGAUGGGCAUGCGGCCUAUUAGUUUGUUGGUGAGGUAAUGGCUCACCAAGACUACGAUAGGUAGGGGGUCUGAGAGGAUGAUCCCCCACACUGGUACUGAGACACGGACCAGACUCCUACGGGAGGCAGCAGUAGGGAAUAUUGGACAAUGGACGAAAGUCUGAUCCAGCCAUGCCGCGUGCAGGAUGACGGCCCUAUGGGUUGUAAACUGCUUUUAUAUAGGAAGAAACCUUUCCACGUGUGGAAAGCUGACGGUACUAUACGAAUAAGGACCGGCUAACUCCGUGCCAGCAGCCGCGGUAAUACGGAGGGUCCAAGCGUUGUCCGGAUUUAUUGGGUUUAAAGGGUACGUAGGCGGAAUUUUAAGUCAGUGGUGAAAGCCUCCAGCUCAACUGGAGAAUUGCCAUUGAAACUGAAGUUCUUGAAUAUGGAUGAGGUGGUUGGAAUAUAACAUGUAGCGGUGAAAUGCUUAGAUAUGUUAUAGAACACCAAUUGCGAAGGCAGAUCACUAAACCAUUAUUGACGCUGAGGUACGAAAGCGUGGGGAGCGAACAGGAUUAGAUACCCUGGUAGUCCACGCCGUAAACUAUGUUCACUCGCUGUUGGCGAUAUACUGUCAGCGGCCAAGCGAAAGCAUUAAGUGAACCACCUGGGGAGUACGAUCGCAAGGUUGAAACU
Molecule: ribosomal RNA, 895 nt
Filed under: marine metagenome
Description: bacterial SSU rRNA
Rfam family: Bacterial small subunit ribosomal RNA
Source: RNAcentral